UCCGGCUUAACGCCGGCAGUCUCUCUAGAGUGCCCAACUGAAUGGUGGCAACUAAAGACGAAGGUUGCGCUCGUUGCGGGACUUAACCCAACACCUCACGACACGAGCUGACGACAGCCAUGCAGCACCUUCUCGUCCAUUCUCUUGCGAGCACUCCCACAUCUCUGCGGGAUUCGGACGGAUUUAACCCAGGUAAGGUUCUGCGCGUUGCUUCGAAUUAAACCACAUGCUCCACCGCUUGUGCGGGCCCCCGUCAAUUCCUUUGAGUUUCAACCUUGCGGUCGUACUCCCCAGGCGGGGUACUUCCUGCGUUAGCGCCGGCACCCAGAGGGUCGCUCCCCCAGGCACCUAGUACCCAUCGUUUACGGCGUGGACUAC
RNAcentral lists this unclassified non-coding RNA (378 nucleotides) under uncultured bacterium. RNAcentral's name for it is "contains 16S-23S intergenic spacer region". The record is from RNAcentral.